GAUGAACGCUGGCGGCGUGCCUAAUACAUGCAAGUCGAGCGAACAGACGAGGAGCUUGCUCCUCUGACGUUAGCGGCGGACGGGUGAGUAACACGUGGAUAACCUACCUAUAAGACUGGGAUAACUUCGGGAAACCGGAGCUAAUACCGGAUAAUAUAUUGAACCGCAUGGUUCAAUAGUGAAAGACGGUUUUGCUGUCACUUAUAGAUGGAUCCGCGCCGCAUUAGCUAGUUGGUAAGGUAACGGCUUACCAAGGCAACGAUGCGCAGCCGACCUGAGAGGGUGAUCGGCCACACGGGAACUGAGACACGGUCCAGACUCCUACGGGAGGCAGCAGUAGGGAAUCUUCCGCAAUGGGCGAAAGCCUGACGGAGCAACGCCGCGUGAGUGAUGAAGGUCUUCGGAUCGUAAAACUCUGUUAUUAGGGAAGAACAAAUGUGUAAGUAACUAUGCACGUCUUGACGGUACCUAAUCAGAAAGCCACGGCUAACUACGUG
Molecule: ribosomal RNA, 497 nt
Filed under: uncultured bacterium
Lineage: Bacteria
Description: partial 16S ribosomal RNA
Rfam family: Bacterial small subunit ribosomal RNA
Source: RNAcentral